CCAGUAGCCAAUGAGACAGUGAACAUUUACCUGGCAGUAUAGUCUUUCUACGUGCCCAUCAAAUGCCACAGAUUCAGUGUGCCAAACAAAACCCCAUGUCAUACAUGUAUAGAUUCAGAGAUCUGCUCUUCUGAUCAUAAUAUAUCAUCUAUUUCGUUAUAUAUCAAUAUAGAUUUGAUAUAUAACAUCCAAUUAUGGACAUGUCCGAGUCGGAGGAGAUCAGUCAAGAUCAGGAGAUAAGCAGUGAUGAAGAAAUGAUGCGUCCUGAUAUCACUGAUGCGAGCUCAGUCAAUGGUGAUGGUUAUAGUACUGAUAGUGAUUAUAGUGAAAUUGAUGAUACUGAAAAUACGGAGAGUUCGGUUGAAGGGUUAGAGGAGAUGAAGAGUACUACUGAAGAGGAAUUAGGGUUUGAUCAUGAAAUAAAUCCACAGGAUGAUAACAUGAUCCAAAAUAAUGGAUAUGUUCCAUUCAAUUCAGAUAAUUGUCAGCCCCCUCAGCUUUCUCCUCGAAGUGAGGUUGAGUCCGUGUCAUCCACAAACAUGCCUUUGGAAAUAAAUGAUCGAGCUAGUGACCUUUUAAUGGCAGUCUCAGUUGGUUCUGAUGCAAACAAGAAAAAAAUCAAUGAGAUGGCUGUUUCAGCCAUGGACGAGCUAGUAAGAAAGUGCCUUGCAGGAGAACCUCUAUGGCAGCACCGACAAGAUUGUGACCUUGAGAUUCUAAAUGAAGGAGAAUAUAUAAGAGAAUUCCGUCCAUUUGAUGCAAGUCUAGGAGAGCUAAUGAGAAUAAUUGAGAUGGAAGAUCCUCAAAAUCUUGCAAACUUAUAUGAGAGCAAUGCAAGCACUAAUGGAACUCAACACAAACCUAUGUUUCAGCGAGAUGCUGAAAAAAAUUUCCUUCAAACUGAAGCUUCACGACAUAUAGGGUUUGUUCGUAUGGAUGCUACCAGCCUUGUCGAGUGCCUCAUGGAUGUGAAGCAGUGGUCAUCAGUUUUUUCUAAUAUCGUCUCAAGAACAACUGUACUUGGAGUCUUGUCAAGAGGGGUAGCUGGGAACUACAACGAAACGUUACAAGUGAUGAAGGCAGAGUUUCAUAUGCCUACACCACUUGUUAAUAUUCGAGAGAGUCAGUUUGCAAGGUAUUGUAAGCAGAUAGGGCCUGGAACUUGGGGAGUUGUUGAUGUAUCCUUGGACAGUCUAUUCCCUUAUCCACUAGUAAUUUUUCGGAGAAGACCAUCAGGGUGUUUAAUCGUAGAAAUGCCGGACGGAUACUCUAAGGUUAUUUGGGUUGAGCAUGUGGAAGUGGACAAUAAAUUUGUCCAUAGAAUGUUUUGGCCAAUUGUUCUCCCUGGUUUUGCAUUUAGCGCUAUGCGUUGGGUUGCCAGCAUAGUCCGACAUUGUGAGCCAGUUGGGAAUAUAAUCUCUACUUCCCUUGACAGUGCAACAAUACCCCGAAAUGGGAAAACAAGUGUGUUGAGGCUGGCUCGUAGAAUGAUGAGAAGCUUUUAUCAUGACAACAGUGCUUCUACUGACAAUUUUUGGGUCCGAAUACAUCUAUGUGAUGGUGAAGAUUUUAGGUUAAUGACUAAGACUAUUUAUGCCCUCAAUGGAAGCCCUAGUUCGACUUUAGUUUUCACAACAUCUCUUUGGGUUCCAGCUCCACCAAAGAGAGUCUUUGAUUUUCUUCGCCAUGGGGAUUCUAGAAACAAGUGGGAUUUGCUUGCCCGUGGAUACGCAGUUCAAGAGAUUAUGCAUAUCAUCAAGGGAGAAAGUCCGGAAAAUCGUGUGUCUAUCAUGCAAGUGAAUUCUGCUCCGAACCAGAUAGAAAUCUUGUACUUGCAAGAAAGUUACAGCCAUCCAACUGGAUCGUACGUUGUUUAUGCCCCAAUAGACAUUCUUACUAUGGGCAUGAUGCUGGGUGGUGGAAAUUCAGAUCUUGUUAAUAUUUUGCCAUCAGGUUUUGUGAUACAUCCUGAUGGGCCACUAAGGAAUGGAGAGGAAACUAGAGGAAGUCUUCUCACCCUUGCCUUUCACAUUAUGGAUGGUUCAUCCACGGAGGACUAUCUUCCUGCUGCUGAUUCUGUUAAUACCAUUCAGAAAAUCCUCACAGAAACUGCAACUUUGAUCAAGACAGCUCUUUUAUCUGACAAUCUAUAAAACACAGUUCACCAUCCGGCCGGCACACAUAAAUCGAAAUGCGUAAGUACUAUCCACACUGUUGUGGAAAGAAAGGGAGAAAAAUGUACAAGGAAAAACAGAACAGAAACGAAAUGAAGGAUGUGAUGACAUCUGCUUAUGGCUGGGGAUUAGGCUGUAUGAUAUAUAUAUCCCCAUGUAUGUUGAAUAAACAGUGGGGAGUGAACAUUGAUGCUUUCUGAAAUUUGUGUCUGUGGACCUUAAUUUUGUAUUGCCUAGUGUAACUCUUGGUUUUAGAACUGGAACCUGUUUUCACAAUCUGGGAUUUUGGAGACACUGUCUUCUGCUAUUGGAUGCGGUUUUCUUUAAA
This is an RNA transcript of Populus trichocarpa (black cottonwood), 2502 nucleotides long. It is a transcript of the gene named homeobox-leucine zipper protein MERISTEM L1, with no coding region annotated. The record is from RefSeq and is a predicted model, not a curated record. The transcript has 11 exons. NCBI's taxonomy places the organism in Eukaryota, Viridiplantae, Streptophyta, Magnoliopsida, Malpighiales, Salicaceae.